AUGGCCGUCAAAGAGACGCGGGCUCUCUCCACCGUGGUUGAAGCCGAUGAGGUGGAUUCUUCGAAUGCAAGCACAGAGCAGCAUGUUUCAACGGUUCUAGAUUGUGAGUCAGGCCAGAAAUCGAGGACUCCAAGCUUUAUUGAUGUCGAAAGGGGAAACAGUGGAUGGGUUCGACGACGUAGGCACGGUGCAAUGCCAGAUGAAAGAGCUGCAAGCGCAGAUAGGAUAAGUGCACUUGAACUUGCAUUUAGAGGAUUUGCUGAGAGGAAAGGAGAAGCAGUAGUGGUGCCUUCCAUGGGAUUGACAUUUGAUUCUCUUGGAGAAGCUUAUGACUAUUACAAUCUUUAUUCGUGGGAGUGCGGGUUCGGAAUAAGGUACGGAAAGAGUCGUACAAACGUCAAAGGAGCUAAAAGUAUGCAAGAGCUACUCUGCAGCUGCGGGGGCAAACCAAAGAAAAUUAACUCAAGUUCUUCAAGAACAGAGUGCCCAGCCAUGAUUAGAUUGCUUAGAACUGAAGACGACGGCUGGUACAUAUGCGAAUAUAGAGUAUCUCACAACCAUGAGAUGUUGCACACGUACGCACAGAAACUCCACUUCCCUUCACACAGGCACAUCGACAAAUACACCAGAGAGCUGGUUUCUCGGUUGCGUCAGAAUAACGUUAAUCUUAGCAAGGUUUAUAGCAUAAUCGGCACAUUUUUCGGUCGUAUUGAGAACGUCCCUUUCACAAAGAGGUGCCUGCGGACGUUGUGUGCAAAAUUGAGCAGAGACCAGGCAGAUGAAGAUGUUAAGAAAACCAUGGAUUAUUUUGCAGAAUUGAAGCAGUACGACCCUGAAUUCACUUACACGGUGCGUGUAGACAGUGAAAGUAGAGUUCAGACACUCAUAUGGACAACUGGGAAGAGCAAAUUGCAGUACCACUACUUCGGUGACGUUAUUACAUUUGACACUACCUAUAGGACAAAUCUUUAUGACAUGCCGUUCGGACUUUUUGUUGGAGUGAACAACCAUUUCCAGAGUGUGAUAUACGCUGGUGUGCUUAUGCGUGAUGAGAAGGUUGAGACCUUCAACUGGGUAUUUUCUGAGUUUGUAAAGCUUAUGGGAGGGAAAAAAACAAUUACAAUUCUAACUGAUCAAGCAAGAGCUAUGGAGGUCGCUAUAGAGGAGGUUUAUCCUGAAGCAACACACCGUUGGUGCAAGUGGCACGUUUUAAAGAAAGCAAAAGAAUCUCUAGGUACUCUGUACAACAAACGCAGUGAAUUCAGGGAUGAGUUUCACAAGCUAAUACAGGAUAUGCUCACGGUGGAAGAGUUUGAAAAACAAUGA
Molecule: ribosomal RNA, 1326 nt
Filed under: Triticum aestivum (bread wheat)
Lineage: Eukaryota; Viridiplantae; Streptophyta; Magnoliopsida; Poales; Poaceae
Description: partial small subunit ribosomal RNA
Source: RNAcentral